AUCGCUUCUUUGCCCUUUUCACUUCAAGAUCAAGUGUAGCAUCUGUUCUUAUAAGUUCAACACCUGAUACGUCCCCUAUCUGGGGACAAUAUAUUCCCAGAGUUUGUCCAAUAUGAACACUU
This is a non-coding RNA of Pelobates cultripes (western spadefoot toad), 122 nucleotides long. The record is from the annotation of a GenBank genome assembly. NCBI's taxonomy places the organism in Eukaryota, Metazoa, Chordata, Amphibia, Anura, Pelobatidae.